RNAcentral lists this ribosomal RNA (273 nucleotides) under uncultured Staphylococcus sp. RNAcentral describes it as "partial 16S ribosomal RNA". It matches the Rfam family "Bacterial small subunit ribosomal RNA", at positions 89 to 355 of the family's 1533-position model. The record is from RNAcentral. Lineage: Bacteria; Bacillati; Bacillota; Bacilli; Caryophanales; Staphylococcaceae.
ACGUUAGCGGCGGACGGGUGAGUAACACGUGGGUAACCUACCUAUAAGACUGGGAUAACUUCGGGAAACCGGAGCUAAUACCGGAUAAUAUUUCGAACCGCAUGGUUCGAUAGUUAAAGAUGGUUUUGCUAUCACUUAUAGAUGGACCUGCGCCGUAUUAGCUAGUUGGUAAGGUAACGGCUUACCAAGGCGACGAUACGUAGCCGACCUGAGAGGGUGAUCGGCCACACUGGAACUGAGACACGGUCCAGACUCCUACGGGAGGCAGCAGUC